AGAGCGAACGCUGGCGGCAGGCCUAAUACAUGCAAGUCGAACGGAUCCUUCGGGAUUAGUGGCGGACGGGUGAGUAACACGUGGGAACGUGCCCUUUGGUUCGGAACAACUCAGGGAAACUUGAGCUAAUACCGGAUGUGCCCUUCGGGGGAAAGAUUUAUCGCCAUUGGAGCGGCCCGCGUCUGAUUAGCUAGUUGGUGGGGUAAAGGCCUACCAAGGCUACGAUCAGUAGCUGGUCUGAGAGGAUGAUCAGCCACACUGGGACUGAGACACGGCCCAGACUCCUACGGGAGGCAGCAGUAGGGAAUCUUGCGCAAUGGGCGAAAGCCUGACGCAGCCAUGCCGCGUGAAUGAUGAAGGUCUUAGGAUUGUAAAAUUCUUUCAGUGGGGACGAUAAUGACGGUACCACAGAAGAAGCCCCGGCUAACUUCGUGCCAGCAGCCGC
This 445-nucleotide ribosomal RNA is filed under the name uncultured bacterium. RNAcentral's name for it is "SSU rRNA". It matches the Rfam family "Bacterial small subunit ribosomal RNA", at positions 26 to 518 of the family's 1533-position model. The record is from RNAcentral.